Glycine soja is the source of this 3791-nucleotide long non-coding RNA. RefSeq lists it as uncharacterized. The record is from RefSeq and is a predicted model, not a curated record. The transcript has 6 exons. Lineage: Eukaryota; Viridiplantae; Streptophyta; Magnoliopsida; Fabales; Fabaceae.
UUCAAGAACCAUUUUGCAUUCUCACUACUUGAAAAGGCAUGUCUCUCUCUCUCUCCUCACAUUCUCACUUUCAAGCCAACACAAACCCUAUCACCAUUUUGCAAAUCCCUUCAUGGUGGAAAUCCUAAGCCCCAAUCUUGCGAAGGGUUUAGGAAACAAACUCGGUUAUUGGCUCUACUGUGAGGUGAAUAAGAAACAAACUUGGUUAGGUUUUUUGGUUUGGGGUUUUGAGGAAUUUAGGGUUCGUGUGGUUUGGGUUUUGGGGAUGAAUCAGAGUUUCAAGGCUCAGGAAUCGCAAAUGCUCGUUGCUUUAAAGCAGAGGGAGCAACAAUUUGGGGUUUGAGGGCUUCCGUGAUGAAGGAGAAUGAGGGGGAACUCGCAUUGUUUUUGAAGAUGAAGAAGCACGAGAAGGAGUGCAAUGACCUUCUUCUUAACUGCUCAGAGGAGUUCAAUGCACCUCUCGUUCAUAUAUGACCUACCCAAUAGGCUAAGCAAGUGCAUCAAGUUGGAGGCCUAUGCAGAUGCAAUCAGGUUUUACAUUGGAACAAUGCCAAUUUUUAAGGUUGUGGUUGGCUUAUAUGCUUUCGGAUUCAAUCCCAUGAUUACUUUUAAACACAAUGUAUUAAUCAAGGGCUCAAAUGAAAUAUCUUGUUUCCCUCCCUCUUUAUCAGGCAUAUGGAGAUUCUUCAUUUCGGGAUUGUAAGCAAGCUUCUGUAGAAGUAAUAGUUGUUGUAGUAAAAAACUUGCAUGUAUAGUUCUUAUACUUGUGUUUGACUUUUUGGACAUGAACCAUGAGCCAAAAUGCAAGUAAGGGGACACUAUGGAUUUCUUUAUCUAUUCCUUUUUUGAAAUUAUUUUGGGCAUGUAGAUAAAUAACAACUUAUUUAAUUGUUAAGUUAUUAUUUUGUUGUAUCCUACCUCCCUUGUAAAACAACAAUAUUAGCUUACAUGUUAUGAGGCUAUUUGCGGAUAUCUACAUGCUAUCUUUUUUUGUUAUUGAAUUCAUAGUAAAAUUGGAUAGAAUUGGCUUACCCUGUCCAACAUUUAUAUUCUUCCAAACAUGGAUAAAACUUUAUGAAGUUAAUAGAUCAUUGUUAACAUACAUCUCUAAUAUUUUGUUGAAUAAUAGUUGAUGCUCAAUUGUUUUUAACAGAAGCUUGUUAACAUGAUUUGACAUUUUUCUUUCUAACUAGGGGAAGCUAUUUUCAGAUUUUGAAUCAAUACAAGUGAGAGCUUAUGCAACAGUGCUUCUUAAGCAGUUGGAUUUUUCGGUUUGUACUUCUUUUUUAAAAAAAUAGAAGUGUUAUUUUAUCCCAUGUUUUCUGUUAUAAAAAAUCAAUGAGAUAGGUUUUUAUUUAUUAUUAUUAUUAUCAUCAAAUGAAAGAGAAGAUUAAUAUAGUGCUAAUUUAAAUUUGAGCAUUUCAAUAUUUCAGUCAAAAGUGAUUAUUUUUGCUUAUUAUAAAGGCUAUUUAAUAGCUUUCUCUUAAUUCUAGUUCUAGCACAUUUACCUUAUACAAGGAUUGUUCAAAAAGUCUUGCACUUGUGUUUAAAGGAGAUGAGGCAAUGGUUACUGCCAUUUCAGAGGAUCCUUUGAGUUUUAAGGUAUUUCUUUCUAUUUUACAUGGAACUUGAGGCAUAUAUGGAUAAUUCUAGCUGCAAUAUUGUCAAGAGACUCAAGAGUGUUGUUUGAAUGGAAUCUAAAGAAUUGCAAUGUGUGUAUAACCUUCGAGUUUUAAGGUAUUUCUUUCUAUUUUACCAAUAAUAUGUUGUGUGUGCAUGUCAAUGUGUGUAAAACUUUCUUUAGCUCAUGAAGUACUAUUUAUAUUAGUGUUAUGAGAACCACCUGGUUUGGAUUUUCUCUAAUAACCUAGAGUGACCAAAAUGAUCGUGUUCUUGAGAUUCCUAGCAGUAGUGUCAAUAGUGUGAACUAAAUGCCAAAUGAUUAAGGGAAAUGGAUUGAGUUUUUAAAUUUGGUCGUUUAUGUGCAGGACCAACCCUAAAAUCCUUCUCAAUUUGGUGAGAUCCAUAGCAUUUGAUAUCACUAUAUAGUAAUUUCUACUUGGGUUUUUUUUCCUACUUGCUUUUGGACUUCUCAAGUGCUAAUUGGUGUGAGUUAAGGUUACGUAAGUAGGUUGUUGCCAUGUGCUUGGAAUAUUUGUUAUACUUGCUUUACCAGUAUUGAUUCAUUUUAGUGAAGUACACAAUAUCAUUGGAUCCCAUCUUGAUACAUUCUAAAAACAUUUAUAUUAACCGCUAUUUGAGAAGUCUAAACUUUUGAUCUAACUUUUAUUGAUUAAAGUCCAACUGAAAAAUUUAAAGUAAUUUUUGAUCUCAUAUUUAAAUUUUUUUAGUGCUUUUUAUGUGAUUUUAGUGUUUUUUAUGUGCCUUAGAAUUUUUUUAUUAUAUGGUCAAUUUAUUUUGCAGCUUUGCUAUUAUAUGGACAUGUUCAAUCUUAAAUUCACUUGGUGCCUAUUCUCACUUUGAUCAUUGGCUUUUGACCCAAGUCUUCUAUGGCCAUGUGUUAGUAUCUGUUUUGUUUAUUCUUGCAUGCUAAACAUGGAUAACUAACACAUGGAUAGACAAUUGAAUUAAAAACAGGUGAAGGAUAAUUUCCAAUACCUUGUUAGGUGCACCGACUUACUAAAUAAAAACUCUAUGCUUUUAGACUAUUUGUGUUUUUGUGGUCAGAAUUGCCAGUUACCCUAGUAGAAGUGUUACACAAGCAGAUCAAACCUUGUUAAGUGUUUAGCUAGAAAAAAAAAGAAUUAAAUUCUCAGUCUGUGAAAAGUUUAAAUAGGUUCUUAUAUUAGUGAUUAGUCUUCUUGGUUAUUAUAACUUUGGACAUCAAAAUGCUUAAAAAGGUUUCCAUAUCUAAGUCUAGGUUGACUAAGAUAGACUUUAUGCUUCAAUGCAAGUCCAGACUACCUAUUCAGUGAUGUGGGGAUAAUCUCUUGUUGCCUGCUUUUAUUUCAUUUCUUUAAUUUCACCUGUAUAAAAAAAGUACCAUUAUUGUUAGUAUUUUAUAAAAAAAUAGUGUGAUGUAAAUUCUUCUUGUUGAAUAUAUAUUAUUUUUUCAAAGAAUUGUUCUUUCAUUCCUUGGAGGCCAUUAAUGUCUUCCAAAAAACGUGUUUCUCCUAAAUUAGUACAUGUAAAUUGAUCAACUGACUAAUUUAAUUUUUCUUCUCCUUUUCUUUUUCAUUUGCAGCUCAUUGCAGUGUUGAUACCAAUAGUAGGUCUUGGUGCUUUCCUCUUGUGGGCAGGACGAGACAUAUGCAAGACACUAUAAAGAUCCUCUCUGAAUGAUGAUUUGCAACUAUGCCCUUUUUGUGGUCAACCUUUUUCUGAAAAAGAUUAAGGUAAAGCAAUUGAUGUUGAAACUGAAAUUAAAGAUGUGGACUAAGUCUUCACAGCUAUAACAUGUUGGUCGGAUUCAAGAGUGAUGCAAUUAAACAAAUGGGAGCUCGAUCGAUUCCAAAUUAGAGGCGAAUUUUGUGCAUGCACAAGAUUGAUUUAUUAGAGAAAAAGAAAGACUUAUGGAAGGUUGCUAAAGAAUUCAAAGAUCUCUCUGGAUAUGGAAGGCAAUUUGACAACCCUGGGAAGAAGAUCCAUUUACCAUGAGAUGAGUAAGCUAUUAGAAGUUGUACGUGAAAGGUUAUUAGACCACAUACAUUAGGUAGUUGUUGAAGCCAUUGAUUCUUCUAAUAUAUAGCUAAAAUUUGUAAGAAAUAUAUUAUAUGGCUAAUAGUGUUACAAUAUUUUAUAUAUUGCCAAGCAUACUUAUCAAUUCAAGA